Non-coding RNA from Acanthosepion pharaonis, 111 nucleotides. The record is from the annotation of a GenBank genome assembly. NCBI's taxonomy places the organism in Eukaryota, Metazoa, Mollusca, Cephalopoda, Sepiida, Sepiidae.
UACAGCCAUAUCACAUUGAAACACUGGUUCUCAUAUGAUCACCAAAGUUAAGCAAUGUUGAGCCUGGUCAGUACCUAGAUGGGUGAUCACUUGGGAAUACCAUGUACUGUA